GUGGGAGUAGCAAAGUGGUCAUGCAUCCGCCUGCAGAGCGGAUCACGGGAGUUCAAAUCUCCCCUCCCACU
RNAcentral lists this transfer RNA (71 nucleotides) under Microcaldota archaeon. RNAcentral describes it as "tRNA-Cys". It matches the Rfam family "tRNA". From Rfam's summary of the family: Transfer RNA (tRNA) molecules are approximately 80 nucleotides in length. Their secondary structure includes four short double-helical elements and three loops (D, anti-codon, and T loops). Further hydrogen bonds mediate the characteristic L-shaped molecular structure. tRNAs have two regions of fundamental functional importance: the anti-codon, which is responsible for specific mRNA codon recognition, and the 3' end, to which the tRNAs corresponding amino acid is attached (by aminoacyl-tRNA synthetases). tRNAs cope with the degeneracy of the genetic code in two manners: having more than one tRNA (with a specific anti-codon) for a particular amino acid; and 'wobble' base-pairing, i.e. permitting non-standard base-pairing at the 3rd anti-codon position. The record is from RNAcentral. Lineage: Archaea; Nanobdellati; Microcaldota.